UCCUGCUGGAGCUGGUCAUCACAGCUGGGAGUGUUCCCCCUGACCAGCAGAUUCAGUUCAAUGUUCAGGAGUUGAUAAAGAAGCGACAGGGCCUGAAAUCGACUCUUUGUUUGUUUGUUUGUUUGUUUUUCGGUAAACGCAAACAAAUCCAUGUAUUCAAAUGUGAAGAUGGGAACAUGAGCAAGUGACAUCGCGACGCUCAGCGCUGGGACGUCUCAACUCCACACAUUUCCAGAUGCAUGCUGGGACGAAAACGACAUCAUGCAGACUCUGGCUAUUAUGAUGAUGAUGAUGAUGAUGAUGAUGCCAUCAUAUUCAGCUCUUGCAGAUCAAAGUUUAAAGUGUCAAAAUGAUUUCCACAACACCUUCACAUGUGUUUGGGACACCUCAAAACUGGACGUAAUCCCUCCGGUCCGACCCGAGACCAAAUGCUGGAUUACUGUAUCAGUUGAGAAGAAAAGGCAGGAAAAAAAGAAGGCGGAUUUGAUGGCAGACCCGAUGCAGCCUCACAUACGCUCUGCCACCGUGGUCUUUGAAAGCAAGAGAGGUAUAAUGUCAUCAACGGCCGAUUUACAUGAAGAAGUCCGGUGUGAAAACUACACAAAUCCUGUUGCUGAAAUAGCAAAACAUAUGGGAAGCGAUAGUGACGUGAAAGUGGCUCCUCCUCAGACAUUGGAAGUUCAUGGGAUCAAUGUUUCUUGGAGUUUCGAUUCUUUAAAAACCCACUUGCCAUCAUAUUAAUCUUCACCAUUCUCAUCAAGUGCAAGAGAAUCAAAAGGUGAGUGAUCACCUGUGAGGAGUCUUCAGACACACUCACACCACAGACAACAGCUACAACGAUAACUACAACUAAACGAUAACCAUAACGACAGCGAUAACUAUGUUGCUAAUAAUAACAAUAAUUAUAAUGACA
Long non-coding RNA from Sinocyclocheilus grahami, 913 nucleotides. Lineage: Eukaryota; Metazoa; Chordata; Actinopteri; Cypriniformes; Cyprinidae. The record is from Ensembl.